AGAAGCCGUACCCUCCAUUGUACACUGAAUUGGGUAUUCAAGAGUGGGCUUUAAGAUAUGCGAUAAAGGACACAAUUAAACCGGUUUUGUAAAAUUAUAUCUGGAUAGAGUCCAUGUUAGGGUCUGGAUAUGAAAAAUAAUUUUUUUUUUUACUAAAGAUAUAAAAUGAGCCAACAACGGUAUAAAAUGAGAGAAAAAAGAACUAAAAAAACAAUAAGAGUGGUGUACAGGCAAAUUGUACCAGAGUCUCCAUGACUUUGCAGUCUCAGUGAGGUACACUCCCACCGUCUGGGAGCUUCACAUUGGGAGUCCGUCAAGUGACUGUGGGUGGUCUAGGCUGGAAUAUAGGGAUCUUGAAGAUGCCCAGACUUUCCAGGUGUGUAUCUUGAGCACCGGUGCUUGUGAUGAGGCCCAGGAUACUCAUAGUGGUUUCUAGGUCCUGGAGGUUCUGUGCCUGGUGGGUGAACAGUAACAUUCUAGGAACUCCCCAGUGAUAGGUCAUUUCUUUGGUUCGGAGAACCUGUAACCUGAUGUAGUGCAGCAUUUCAUCCAUGCUUACAUCUGCAGGGAUGCCCCUUAUUUUUUAAGUUGUGGCGUCUCCUCUGAUCAUACAGUAUCUCUACUGGGCCCCUAAAAACAGCAUUGAUUAACUACACCCAGUACUCACAAGCAACCAAACCCUGCAGAUUCUUCUAAGCAGAGACUGGCCCCCCAAAAACAGCAUUGAAUAACUACACCCAGUACUCACAAGCAACCAAACCCUGCAGAAUCUUCUAAGCAGAGACUGGGCUCCUAAAAACAAAAUUGAUUAACUACACAUAGUACUCACAAGCAACCAAACCCUGCAGAAUAUUCUAAGCACACACUGGGCCCCUAAAAACAGCAUUGAUUAACUACACCCAUGUAACGGACCGUUUCUCAAACAAGAGGAUAAAAACCGUUUAGGCGAUAAUCCCCUUUCCCAUAGACCAGCAGCUACUGCAAGCACCAAACUCCCGAACUGCAAACUGUACGAAUUCACCAACUCUCGAACUGGAAACACACGAACACUGGAAUCAGCCGAACAGGAAAAGCAUACAAUCCGCUUACACUCCUGGCAGUCAGCAUACAAUCCAAUUCCCCCCAAAAACGAGACGACACAUCAGUUUGAGGGUCAAGCAGAAUCUCCUGUACUGUCACAUACAGUCUCUUUUAUUCCCAAUCCACAAACAUAGUACAGCCCACAGGGCGUUAUAAAACAACACUUCCUCUGCAGGUGAUAUGAUUACUGAACACAAUGGGUAAUCUCAUUAUCACCGGCAGAGGAAUACAGUUUUAACACAAUAUUUAUAACUUCUAAAAUAUACAUGUCACAAACAUAAAACAUACAUUUUCAUAAUCAAUCCAUUCAGGGGAACAACAUAUUAAAAAAUGGCACGAAUCAGACCAGGGGUUCAAAAGUUAAGGAAAGUCCUUUGUGACUAAAUGAAGCAUGGCUUUCUGGCCCAAACCAGUUUCAGAGUCUUCUAUCCUGGAGAGUAAUUCAAUUAUCUCCCAGGACAGACACAAGACUCCAUUAAGCACAUGGUUGCAAAAAGACACAAAACACUUUAAAAUACAUAAAGUCACAUUUACACAUAACACACAGACAUUUCACAUAUCCCCAGAUAGCUGGGAUCUGAGUGCACAUUAUUAGAUGAAUGGCACUCAGAUCCCACAAAUAAGCCUUUCUGCAGGGGAAAUAAACGGUUUAACCUGCAGGGCCAUAGUCCAAAGGGAGCAGGCGAGCAACCAGGCUUCUCCAGUUCACAGUGGCGAGGUUGGUUUCACCACAACCCAGUACUCACAAGCAACCAAGCCCUGCAGAAUCUUCUAAGCAGAGAGCUGGCCCCCAAAAACAGCAUUGAAUAACUACACCCUGUACUCACAAGCAACCAAACCCUGCUGAAUCUUCUAAGCAGAGGUAUCAUCUUUGGAAGAUCUAUUAAAGAAUUCCAGUUCUACGUAUUGUUUCCUUUUAUUUCUUAAUUUAAAAUUGUGUUCUAUUCCACCUCCCACCUUUUUAUUUUAUGUUCAUUCUUUAUGUAGGGUUUCUCCUCUCAUCUCACUGCUCCUUCAAAUCUCUACCCAAAUCUCUACCCACUCCCGCCCUUUCUUUCCCAUCAUUCCAAAUUCAUUUGAUUCGCCUUUUCAAACCCUUCUCUGCUUACAUUGCCGUUAUUUAUCGCCCCCUGACUCCCCUCUCCUCUUCCUUGACCACUUUGUUGCCUGGCUACCCUACUUCCUCUCUUAUAAUAUCCCAUCCCUAAUUCUCAGGGACCUCCAUAUUCCCAUUAACCCACCUUUGACCUCAGCAGCCUCUGAACUACUUUCAAUUACUUCCUCCCUCUGGCUAUCGCAGUGGGCUAAUACCCAUGUAGCUGGCAAUACCCUCGACCUCAUCUUCUCUUAUGCAUGUACAGUGUCUAAUAUCCGCAACACUCCAUAUCCUCUCUUUGAUCACCACCUCUUAUCGUUUGCUCUCGAGUACCCCCUCACCUAACAACCUCAUCCUAACCCCCCUCAACUCAGGAGGAACCUUAAUUCUAUUGACCUCCAGCAGCUGUCAGCUGAUAUUAAUUCACAACUGCUAUCCAUCCCUUCUCUCUCCUGCCCCUCACUGGCCAUCUCUACAUAUAACACUACUCUCACCUCUGCAAAAUGCACCUCGAGGAGGGCACGCCCCCCAACCGUGGCAAACUAAAUCAACACUCUACCUGCAAAGAUGCUCCCAUUGUGUGGAACGCUCCUGGAGGAAGUCUCGCACCCAGUCAGACAUUCUCCAUUAUAGAUUCAUAUUGUGUUCAUACAGCGCACCACUUGUCCGCCCCACCACUUGUCCGCUUGAUCCCGUCCCAUCUCACCUUAUCAGAUCUCUCUCCCCUUGUCUUGCGCCUUCCUUAACACACAUCUUCAACUGCUCUCUCUCUGGCGUUGUCCCUGCUGACCUUAAUAAUGCCACUGUAGUACCUAUCCUGAAAAAAACCUCUCUUGACCUGUCCUCCCCCUCUAUUAUCCCAUAUCCCUGCUCCUUUUCUCCUCAAAAACUCUGGAAAGACUUGUCUUUAACCAUAUGUCUCACUUCCUCAAUUACAACUCUUUCCUUGAUCCUCUUCAAUCUGGCUUCCGCCCCCUCCACUCUACUGAGACUGCUCUUAUCCAAUUUACUAAUGACCUAAUCACAGCUAAAUCCAAAGUUCACUACUCCAUACUAAUUCUUCUUGUCCUCUCUGAUGCCUUUGACACCGUUGAUCAUGCUCUCCUUCAAACUCUUCAAACACUCGGUCUCCGUGACUCUGUCCUCUCAUGGUUUUCCUCUUAUCCCUCCCAACGCUCAUUCAGCGUCUCCUUUUCUAAUGAUACCUCCUCCCCUCGUCCUGUUUUGGUUGGAGUCCCCCAAGGCUCUGUCCUUGGUCCCCUUCUAUUUUCUCUUUAUACUACCUCUCUUUGCAAACUUAUUACCUCUUUUGGAUUUCAGUACCAACUGUACACUGAUGAUACCCAGAUAUAUCUCUCCUCCCCGGACCUCUCCCCUGCCCUCCUGCAACGUGUCACUGCUUGCCUUUCUUCCAUCUCUGACUGGAUGUCCUCCUGCUUUCUCAAACUCAGUCUCUCUAAAACUGAGCUCCUUGUCUUUCCUCCGCCUAAUACGUAUCCUUCUCUUUUGCUCUCCCUUGAAAUAAGUGGUAUUCACAUAAGUCCAUUCGUGCAAAUGCGCUGUCUUGGCAUCAUGCUACCAAAGAGCUUGUCAAUGCUCUAGUAAUUUUCCGCAUGGAUUAUUGUAACCCUCUCCUAAUUGGUCUUCCCAAAAGCCGUAUGGCCCCGCUACAGUCUGUAAUGAAUGCUGCCGCCAGACUGAUUUUAUGUACUGUAAAAUGUUUCUUAUGUGUAAUGUUUGAGUAUAACACCAAUGUUCAUAGGAUAAGGUUUGCUCAAAUUAGUGUAUUAGUGCAUUGAGGAAGACAUACAAUGGUUUUCCAAG
Pelobates cultripes (western spadefoot toad) is the source of this 4000-nucleotide non-coding RNA. The record is from the annotation of a GenBank genome assembly. NCBI's taxonomy places the organism in Eukaryota, Metazoa, Chordata, Amphibia, Anura, Pelobatidae.